GAUGAACGCUGGCGGCGUGCCUAAUACAUGCAAGUCGAGCGAACAGACGAGGAGCUUGCUCCUCUGACGUUAGCGGCGGACGGGUGAGUAACACGUGGAUAACCUACCUAUAAGACUGGGAUAACUUCGGGAAACCGGAGCUAAUACCGGAUAACAUGUUGAACCGCAUGGUUCAACAGUGAAAGACGGUUUUGCUGUCACUUAUAGAUGGAUCCGCGCCGCAUUAGCUAGUUGGUGAGGUAACGGCUUACCAAGGCAACGAUGCGUAGCCGACCUGAGAGGGUGAUCGGCCACACUGGAACUGAGACACGGUCCAGACUCCUACGGGAGGCAGCAGUAGGGAAUCUUCCGCAAUGGGCGAAAGCCUGACGGAGCAACGCCGCGUGAGUGAAGAAGGUCUUCGGAUCGUAAAACUCUGUUAUUAGGGAAGAACAAAUGUGUAAGUAACUAUGCACGUCUUGACGGUACCUAAUCAGAAAGCCACGGCUAACUACGUG
This 497-nucleotide ribosomal RNA is filed under the name uncultured bacterium. RNAcentral describes it as "partial 16S ribosomal RNA". It matches the Rfam family "Bacterial small subunit ribosomal RNA", at positions 28 to 507 of the family's 1533-position model. The record is from RNAcentral.